CAUAGGUCGUUCCCAGGAAGGGAUGACUUGGUGUUAAGCACUCAUUCUCCCAUCCAGUGCCAGAUUCAGGGCAGAGGGUCCAGAGAAAGUCCCUGCUGCCUCAGCGCGGGUUGGAAAGUCUGGUGUUUCCCCUUCCCGCACUGGGCUCCACGCCCCCCCUGACUAACGCCUUCCUUAUUGUAGCUUUGUGCCAAGGGUCACUUGUGGUUCCCACUAGUAUAAGUCCUGGAGGCCCCAUUGUCCAUCCUGUGUGCCCUCCCCCAGCCUGUGGUUCGGUCCUUUGCCCUUGAAAGCACCAUAUGUGCUCUGCUGUGUUGAAUCAGACAUUUGCAAAGAGCCGGAAACCUUGAAAGAGAAACCAAAGGACACAGCAAGGUCACAGAGUAGAGUGGUUAAGAGCUGGCGGGCGAACCAAACAGGCCUGGAUUUGAAUUCUGUCUCCAUCACUUACUGUUAUGCAUCUGGGACAAGAUACCUAACCUCUCUGAGCCUCAGUUUACUCAACUGUAAACUGUCAGAGCCUCCGCUGACCCAGGCCGCCCGCCAUUCACAGCAAAGAGACAGAAGACCCAGGACAGCUUAAAAUGCCAGUCCUCCAGUCCAUUGAUCUUUAAGGAACAAUCAAAUUGAGCCAAAGGAAAGGAGUUCCGAUACUAGAAUUCCAGGCUUCUCUCUUGAGGGCCCAAGAGGUAUUAUGGGACCAGGCAGAAGAUCAUUUCUCCAGUGACACUUGAAGUCAGGAGUGUGAAGUCUUUAAAAUGACUUCCUACUGCCUUGCCCAUGGCGUACUAGAAAGAAACUGGGGCCAACUGGACCUGUGGACAUAGGAAGCGAGCCAGGAGGGGGAGGCCAAAGGAAAUUCGCGAAGAAGGUGCCGGAGUGCUGCUCCUCCAGAAUUUUUUACAUGCUUGUGGAUGCCACGGGGUUCACUCAAAGGGAAGAGAGGAAACCUAGCGAUUAGGAAUGCUGUCGUGAAAAGGCUCUGAGGAGGAGUAUCUUGGAAUUGGGUCAUGUGUAAAAUAUGUACUAAUCACAAGGAGAGCCCCUUUUGAGAGCUUCUUCUAGCCCCCAAGUAACUUCGUUUUACCUCCAAAUUAGAAUGCAAAUUAAGAACAAGAAAGGGAAAUUUUAAGUCACUCACCUAAAUCUACGAAAUUAAAUCCUCCACCUACACAACACUACAUUUCACCAGCAAAAUAGCAGGGGCAUUUAUUGCAGUCCCUGGUAAGUAUUCAAACACAAGAGCCUAGGGAGCUGCUACAAAAAGCACUGGCACUUGAUCGUAUCAGGCAGGCAAAUCAGGAAAUGGACAUUCUUAUAUGACCGAAAAUUAAAUUGAUGAAUUAAAGUGGUGUCUAUCAGCUACCAAGAGCUCAGCUGACCUGAUUCCCCUUGGAGGGGCCCUAAACACAUGAAGGAAUGACCAGGUGGACAGGUGGUGAAGGCAGCAAGUCAUAAAGGGGUUGACACAUCCCUGAAAUGAACUGGAAAUCUGCCGUUGGUGACCUCGGGUCCCCAUGCCCAACUCCUGACACACCGGUGAAAGGUGGUUUUGUCCUGCUGGGACCAGCUCUGCCCCCAACCAAAAUAAAUAUUGGAAGACUAUCAUUUUGAGGGAGUGGCAAAUUAUUUGCCUGCUUGAAGCAUCUUUGUUUGAGAUGCCUCUUUAAACCCAACUUUUUCAAACUGAGAGCAC
This 1696-nucleotide long non-coding RNA is filed under the name Equus caballus (horse). Its description in RNAcentral is "lncRNA (ENSECAG00000054737.1)". The record is from RNAcentral. Lineage: Eukaryota; Metazoa; Chordata; Mammalia; Perissodactyla; Equidae.